AGUGUCAAGGGAUGGGAAUCGAACCCACGACUUUUACCGCUUACCGCUUACCGGGCAGAUGCCAUGACCACUAGGCCACAUGACC
Non-coding RNA from Cordylochernes scorpioides, 85 nucleotides. The record is from the annotation of a GenBank genome assembly. NCBI's taxonomy places the organism in Eukaryota, Metazoa, Arthropoda, Arachnida, Pseudoscorpiones, Chernetidae.